RNAcentral lists this ribosomal RNA (497 nucleotides) under uncultured bacterium. RNAcentral describes it as "partial 16S ribosomal RNA". It matches the Rfam family "Bacterial small subunit ribosomal RNA", at positions 28 to 507 of the family's 1533-position model. The record is from RNAcentral.
GACGAACGCUGGCGGCGUGCCUAAUACAUGCAAGUUGAGCGCUGAAGGUUGGUACUUGUACCAACUGGAUGAGCAGCGAACGGGUGAGUAACGCGUGGGGAAUCUGCCUUUGAGCGGGGGACAACAUUUGGAAACGAAUGCUAAUACCGCAUAAAAACUUUAAACACAAGUUUUAAGUUUGAAAGAUGCAAUUGCAUCACUCAAAGAUGAUCCCGCGUUGUAUUAGCUAGUUGGUGAGGUAAAGGCUCACCAAGGCGAUGAUACAUAGCCGACCUGAGAGGGGGAUCGGCCCAAUGGGGCCUGGACACCGCCCCAAACUCCUACGGGAGGCAGCAGUAGGGAAUCUUCGGCAAUGGACGAAAGUCUGACCGAGCAACGCCGCGUGAGUGAAGAAGGUUUUCGGAUCGUAAAACUCUGUUGGUAGAGAAGAACGUUGGUGAGAGUGGAAAGCUCAUCAAGUGACGGUAACUACCCAGAAAGGGACGGCUAACUACGUG